CCUACGGGGGGCAGCAGUGGGGAAUAUUGCACAAUGGGGGAAACCCUGAUGCAGCGACGCCGCGUGAGUGAAGAAGUAUUUCGGUAUGUUAAGCUCUAUCAGCAGGGGAGAAAAUGACGGUACCUGAUUCAGAAGCCCCGGCUAACUACGUGCCAGCAGCCGCGGUAAUACGUAGGGGGCAAGCGUUAUCCGGAUUUACUGGGUGUAAAGGGAGCGUAGACGGCAGAACAAGUCUGGAGUGAAAUGCUGGGGCUCAACCCCGGAACUGCUUUGGAAACUGUGCAGCUAGAGUGCAGGAGAGGGAAGUGGAAUUCCUGGUGUAGCGGUGAAAUGCGUAGAUAUUAGGAGGAACACCAGUGGCGAAGGCGGCUUACUGGACUGUAACUGACGCUGAGGCUCGAAAGCGUGGGGAGCAAACAGGAUUAGAUACCCUAGUAGUC
Molecule: ribosomal RNA, 440 nt
Filed under: uncultured bacterium
Lineage: Bacteria
Description: partial 16S ribosomal RNA
Rfam family: Bacterial small subunit ribosomal RNA
Source: RNAcentral